RNAcentral lists this ribosomal RNA (468 nucleotides) under uncultured bacterium. RNAcentral describes it as "partial 16S ribosomal RNA". It matches the Rfam family "Bacterial small subunit ribosomal RNA", at positions 28 to 507 of the family's 1533-position model. The record is from RNAcentral.
GACGAACGCUGGCGGCGUGCUUAACACAUGCAAGUCGAACGGAAAGGCCCUGCUUUUGUGGGGUGCUCGAGUGGCGAACGGGUGAGUAACACGUGAGUAACCUGCCCUUGACUUUGGGAUAACUCCAGGAAACUGGGGCUAAUACCGGAUAGGAGCUCCUGCUGCAUGGUGGGGGUUGGAAAGUUUCGGCGGUUGGGGAUGGACUCGCGGCUUAUCAGCUUGUUGGUGGGGUAGUGGCUGACCAAGGCUUUGACGGGUAGCCGGCCUGAGAGGGUGACCGGCCACAUUGGGACUGAGAUACGGACCAGACGCCUACGGGAGGCAGCAGUGGGGAAUAUUGCACAAUGGGCGGAAGCCUGAUGCAGCGACGCCGCGUGCGGGAUGACGGCCUUCGGGUUGUAAACCGCUUUCGCCUGUGACGAAGCGUGAGUGACGGUAAUGGGUAAAGAAGCACCGGCUAACUACGUG